CAGAGAUGCUUUGGUGCCUUCGGGAACUCUGAGACAGGUGCUGCAUGGCUGUCGUCAGCUCGUGUUGUGAAAUGUUGGGUUAAGUCCCGCAACGAGCGCAACCCUUAUCCUUUGUUGCCAGCGGUCCGGCCGGGAACUCAAAGGAGACUGCCAGUGAUAAACUGGAGGAAGGUGGGGAUGACGUCAAGUCAUCAUGGCCCUUACGAGUAGGGCUACACACGUGCUACAAUGGCGCAUACAAAGAGAAGCGACCUCGCGAGAGCAAGCGGACCUCAUAAAGUGCGUCGUAGUCCGGAUUGGAGUCUGCAACUCGACUCCAUGAAGUCGGAAUCGCUAGUAAUCGUGGAUCAGAAUGCCACGGUGAAUACGUUCCCGGGCCUUGUACACACCGCCCGUCACACCAUGGGAGUGGGUUGCAAAAGAAGUAGGUAGCUUAACCUUCGGGAGGGCGCUUACCACUUUGUGAUUCAUGACUGGGGUGAAGUCGUAACAAGGUAGGCGUAGUGCU
RNAcentral lists this ribosomal RNA (508 nucleotides) under uncultured bacterium. RNAcentral's name for it is "bacterial SSU rRNA". It matches the Rfam family "Bacterial small subunit ribosomal RNA", at positions 1001 to 1509 of the family's 1533-position model. The record is from RNAcentral.